CGCCGCGGAGGCUGGAGGGCUUGUGCCAUUGGCAGCAACAGAGGCUGAAGCCUCUUCUCAUCCACAGGUCAGGUACAGUGUGGACAAGUGCACUGCAGACUCCCCUACACCGCGCCGCCGGUGCACCUCAAAGCGGACAUGGAAGGACCACUAUCUAACAGGGGUGAGAAGGUCAUCCUCUUUCAGUACUGACUGCGCGAACUCUUCCUCAUCUGUCCAUGGCGCUACCAGCACCACUGCCCCUCAGUCGUUGAAAUACAGUGUCCAAUCCAAGGCAACUGUAAUCAGUCAUGCAGGAGAAACUCAAAUCCAGCAUUCUCGGUUUUUUUCCAUUGACCAGCAUCUAACAUCCACUAUUAUUUCUCCAGCAGCACUCUGUGUAUGUGUGUGUUGAGUGCACAGUUACAUUUUUCACUU
Molecule: long non-coding RNA, 417 nt
Organism: Struthio camelus australis
Lineage: Eukaryota; Metazoa; Chordata; Aves; Struthioniformes; Struthionidae
Source: Ensembl